This is a long non-coding RNA of Triticum aestivum (bread wheat), 626 nucleotides long. RefSeq lists it as uncharacterized. Lineage: Eukaryota; Viridiplantae; Streptophyta; Magnoliopsida; Poales; Poaceae. The transcript is spliced from 3 exons. The record is from RefSeq and is a predicted model, not a curated record.
UCGAUUCGAUCUGGUGUUGUAGGUUCAGUCUGAUUCGAUCUGGGAUACGCAGCGACAACGACAGCAACAGACCAUGAACCCCCUCCCCCAAACUGGCCCUCCCACCGGCCGCCGCACAGCCGCCGGCCCCCACUGUCCGCUAAGGUUGAGGACACCGGGCCUGAACCACGGACGCCCCGAGCUGCCGGACCUGGAUCACGGACACCAUCCUUGUCUCCUCCGACUCGAACUAGGGCACCGCUGCUCCCGUCUCCAGUCCCUCAUCUCCUCCAGCACUAGUUGUCCCCGCUUAAAGUGCCGGUCCUAGCCUCGUGGGUGGUGGCCUUGUGGGAGGAUGCCUGAGCUGAGAAGGAGGACACCGUCGUCCACCCCGGCCACCACACAAGGGAUGGCGCCACUGUGCCCGACGCUUGCCCUGGUCACCGCAGUGGUGCUUCAGCGGCUUCUAGACCCUCUCCUGGAUGUGGUGAUGGUCACACCACAGCCAUGGUGUGGCUGAGCCUCUACUACGGCUACAACCUCCCUCAGGUGAGCUCCUCCCCGUAACUUCUUCUCUGAUGUUGCUCCUGCAUGGCCUUCUCCAUGAUUUGGGUUGGAUGUGCGGCUCUACUAGUUGCUGCUAGAUG